RNAcentral lists this ribosomal RNA (131 nucleotides) under Desmarestia viridis. The record is from RNAcentral. Lineage: Eukaryota; Phaeophyceae; Desmarestiales; Desmarestiaceae.
GGUUCGCCUCCAUGUUUAGAUCUAUACCCGAACUCUUACUGAACUCGAGUGUCCUUAUCUAGACAGCCAUACAUACUAGUUUUUGCUGGGAACCAUGGCUUAUUAAAAAUUUAGAUUUUUUAAGUUGCACU